This 468-nucleotide ribosomal RNA is filed under the name uncultured bacterium. RNAcentral describes it as "partial 16S ribosomal RNA". It matches the Rfam family "Bacterial small subunit ribosomal RNA", at positions 28 to 507 of the family's 1533-position model. The record is from RNAcentral.
GACGAACGCUGGCGGCGUGCUUAACACAUGCAAGUCGAACGGAAAGGCCCUGCUUUUGUGGGGUGCUCGAGUGGCGAACGGGUGAGUAACACGUGAGUAACCUGCCCUUGACUUUGGGAUAACUUCAGGAAACUGGGGCUAAUACCGGAUAGGAGCUCCUGCUGCAUGGUGGGGGUUGGAAAGUUUCGGCGGUUGGGGAUGGACUCGCGGCUUAUCAGCUUGUUGGUGGGGUAGUGGCUUACCAAGGCUUUGGCGGGUAGCCGGCCUGAGAGGGUGACCGGCCACAGUGGGACUGAGAUACGGGCCAGACUCCUACGGGAGGCAGCAGUGGGGAAUAUUGCACAAUGGGCGGAAGCCUGAUGGAGCAACGCCGCGUGCGGGAUGACGGCCGUCGGGUUGUAAACCGCUUUCGCCUGUGACGAAGCGUGAGUGACGGUAAUGGGUAAAGAAGCACCGGCUAACUACGUG